RNAcentral lists this transfer RNA (93 nucleotides) under Armillaria novae-zelandiae. Its description in RNAcentral is "tRNA-Gly". It matches the Rfam family "tRNA". From Rfam's summary of the family: Transfer RNA (tRNA) molecules are approximately 80 nucleotides in length. Their secondary structure includes four short double-helical elements and three loops (D, anti-codon, and T loops). The record is from RNAcentral. Lineage: Eukaryota; Fungi; Basidiomycota; Agaricomycetes; Agaricales; Physalacriaceae.
GCAUCAAUGGGGUAGUGGUAACCUGGGUCGUUGCCAUGUGGUGAGCGUCAAAGUCAUAUCGACCCGCCGGGGGUUCAAUUCCCCCUUGAUGCA